Molecule: long non-coding RNA, 1302 nt
Organism: Micropterus dolomieu (smallmouth bass)
Lineage: Eukaryota; Metazoa; Chordata; Actinopteri; Centrarchiformes; Centrarchidae
Exons: 3
Source: RefSeq, a predicted model, not a curated record
UUUGCACUUUUCUUUAAAUCUUUCAUUCGAUUUAUAUCAUUUUCUUCACAGUGCAAAUCGAAGUGAAAUAACAUAUUCUGGGUUUUCUCAGCUGAAAUAGGCCAGCUAUUUGCAUCUCAAUAACCAUAAACCAAAUUAAAGCCUGAACCAAGCGGCUUACGAAUAAUUAUCACCAUGGCAGCUUCUUGGGACACUAUGUUGGUAAAACUUCUUCUGAAAGAGUUAUGCCGCAAAAAAAUGCAUUCAAAUAUGGCUUGCUACAUACGUCACAGACCAGAAGCUAUAAAAAGCUCCGUUUGAUGCAGCGUCCACAUUAGAGAGAAGCAGCGACUGUGGGCAGCCUCCUCCGUCUGGCCAAAUUACAGCAAAAAUAAAAAUAGCCUAAUUAUUUAAAAGAAUGUCCAAAAUGACGAUCGCUCAGUUUGGAGUCCUUGUGUUGGCCAUAUGUUCAUCAGCACAGAACAGUACAAGCCCCACAGGGGGGACAAACUCCACCUCCAACCCCAACGCCACCACCAUGGCACCAGACACCUACAGCAGUUCGGCCAACUCCACCACCCCUACCGGAGCAGGUGUCUCGCUGCGCGCAGGUACCUUCUCCUUCCUGAUUCCCGUCGUCAUGGCAGCCUCUCUCCUGCAGCGCUACUGUUGAAGCCCGGACCAGCCUUUUCCUCUCUGCCUCAACACUCCUCCUCACCUCCCAUCCAAUCAUCCCACCAGUCCAGCCUCACUCCUCUCUCCUUCACUGCACGGAGACCACAAGACUAAUAGAUGGACUUCACAACCUUCUUGUACUCCAGAAGUAAUGAUUAAAAAAUAUGUAAUUCAAGAUAAUUCUUUCAAUAAAGGGGGUUUAGCAUUCUGCUGGAUCAACAAGUCCCCUUCGCUCGCCCCUUGCAUGGAAUCAAAAGGAAUGGCAAUGCACCCAGCUUCCCUUUUGGCCUGCGUUUCCAUUGUCACGCCAUCACAUUUUGGAGAUGCUCAGGGCUGCGGUUGUCAUGUCACAUGUCUUGAUUGAAAUGCGGACCACUUGAGUGUACAGAGGAUCUUUUUGUGGCUUAAAAUCCACCUGGCAAUUAAUAUCAGAAUGGGUUUUGUCUGUUAAGUGAAGUUUGGCACAUACAGUAUAGGAGAUUCAAAUAAAACAUUACAUUUUUAGUUUUUUUUCUCCAUAAUUUGGCUCUUCUGUCUUUUUAUUAGAAAUGUCAAAUAGAUGUAUGCAGCAAAUCAGUUGCUGCAGGACUUGUGUCAGUUUUGCCUUGUGAUUUUUAAAGAGUCCUGGUCUUUUACAAUGAGGGUUUG